CAAUAGCGUAUAUUAAAGUUGUUGCAGUUAAAAAGCUCGUAGUUGAAUUUCUGUCAGGAGCGACCGGGCCUUUGGAUGAACUUCCAUUGUUUUUUGCUCUGUUUGUCGUCUCUAGACAUCCUAAAUUACAUUUCUUGUAAUUUUCUUUUACUGUUAGCAAAAUAGAGUGUUCCAAGCAAAGCGUAGUUUUGAAUACAUUAGAAUGGAAUAAUAAGAUAGGACUUUGGUGCUAUUUUGUUGGUUUGCACACCAAGGUAAUGAUUAAUAGGGACAGUUGGGGGUAUUCGUAUUUAAUUGUCAGAGGUGAAAUUCUUGGAUUUAUGAAAGACGAGCUACUGCGAAAGCAUUUACCAAGGAUGUUUUCAUUAA
RNAcentral lists this ribosomal RNA (369 nucleotides) under uncultured eukaryote. RNAcentral's name for it is "partial 18S ribosomal RNA". It matches the Rfam family "Eukaryotic small subunit ribosomal RNA", at positions 592 to 976 of the family's 1831-position model. The record is from RNAcentral.